UGGGGAAUAUUGCACAAUGGAGGGAACUCUGAUGCAGCGACGCCGCGUGAACGAAGAAGGCUUUCGAGUCGUAAAGUUCUUUUAUAUGGGAAGAUAAUGACGGUACCAUAAGAAAAAGCCCCGGCUAACUACGUGCCAGCAGCCGCGGUAAUACGUAGGGGGCUAGCGUUGUCCGGAAUCACUGGGCGUAAAGGGUUCGCAGGCGGAAAUGCAAGUCAGGUCUAAAAGGCAGUAGCUUAACUACUGUAAGCAUUUGAAACUGCAUAUCUUGAGAAGAGUAGAGGUAAGUGGAAUUUUUAGUGUAGCGGUGAAAUGCGUAGAUAUUAAAAAGAAUACCGGUGGCGAAGGCGACUUACUGGGCUCAUUCUGACGCUGAGGAACGAAAGCGUGGGUAGCAAACAGG
This 403-nucleotide ribosomal RNA is filed under the name Fusobacteriota bacterium. RNAcentral's name for it is "Fusobacteria bacterium partial 16S ribosomal RNA". It matches the Rfam family "Bacterial small subunit ribosomal RNA", at positions 355 to 776 of the family's 1533-position model. Lineage: Bacteria; Fusobacteriati; Fusobacteriota. The record is from RNAcentral.